Long non-coding RNA from Chelonia mydas (Green sea turtle), 1884 nucleotides. RefSeq lists it as uncharacterized. The record is from RefSeq and is a predicted model, not a curated record. The transcript is spliced from 3 exons. NCBI's taxonomy places the organism in Eukaryota, Metazoa, Chordata, Testudines, Cheloniidae.
UGGGAAAUAGGUGACUAUGAUAAACGGGGCCUGGGAAGAGGGUGAAGCAGAAGAAAUAUCUUUCUGUCAGCAUUACAGUUAUUCAGUACCUCUGGCUAUGUCUACAUUGCAGUAUAAAACACUAGGGUUAUUUGGAGCCCAGUCAGCAGACCCAUGUGAGGGAACUCUGGACUUGAGCGUCUACAUUGCAUUUUAAUCCUAGGUUACAAAUUUUCUGUUCUGUGGUGGAAUCUAGGGCUUUAGGCAUCCAUGCUGUAGUGCACCCAGACCUGAGUCGAAGUAAACCUGGCCAGGAGUUGAUAGCAGCUGCCUCCCACUCCCCAUGUCAACUCUGUAGUCCUAGAAGUGUGGUCCUGUUGGGAUCCAGGAAGUGGGCGGGCAGAAGCUAAAGGAUCUCCCCACAGCUUAAGGGGAGGAUCUAUAGGUCCGGGAUUCCAAAUGUUUGUGGGGGACAGCUAAAGAUAUAACAGGAAUGGGAGUGAGGUCACUGGGCUAAACAAGGGGAACCUGUUGGGGACACCAAGCAGAAAACCCACCGCUCUUUUAAGGUGUCAAGGGAGCCAGCAGAUGCUGCCCAGAGGAACUCUGCCCCGAUGUGUGAAUGGAUUGAGCAGUGGAAAAUAGUAUAUCUAAAAGGAGCCAGAAUAGGGGCUGCAAUCUGACGCACGCCAGAUAUACAUGCACCAGCGUCUCCCUCAUGCGCAAAAGGGACAGGUGUCUGGGGCGGGUGUGAACUGCGCCAAGUACACGCCCAUAUGUUCAGUGACAGCAGAUGCAAUAUCUUUGCUCCGAGUUUGUCCUUUGAGUCUUCUUGAGGACCUUGAUCUUUAACGUAUCUGCCGAGUAAGGCAACCUGAGUGAUGUCAUCCACAUCGCAUGUCUCAUCGCAGGGAAUAGAAAAACCUGGUGCUGAUCAAAUGUCACUAACCUGUUGGCUGGAUGUUUUCAAACUGUUGGACACUGGAACAUAUUAGUAAAGACAGAGCACGUCCGCUUCCUUUCCCUGUAGCCUGACGCUUUCCACAGCUCCCAUUGGCCAGGAAUGUCAGCAAAAUGUCUCGUGGCCCGCAGUCAGAUUACCCUGAUGGGCACCGUGCACCCUGCGGGCCGCAGGUUGCCCACCACUGCUCUAUGCCUUAUAACAAUAGAACAACUAAACGUGAAAAUAUAUCAGUUAAACAUUUAAUACUAAAUACUUAAUACUAAGCAUCCAACAAGUGCUGAUCAGGCAAUUAUUAGAUGGGUAGGGGGAAGAUCUCACUCAGACCACAAACAUCCAACUUCAUUUACACUCGGCACCCAUACACUCUGGGAUGCUAAGAUAAAAGACUUACAGAAGCCUUCUUAAAAGUCCCUCUGAGUUGUCUUACAAGGGUCCUUCAGCUAUGUCAGUAGCUAGAGAUCGCCGUUCAUAGGGGGUGAAUCACAGAUGAUAGUGGCUGCGUUGGGUGGCCGCUUGCUCCUGCUGAGGUGAAGUUUCUCCUCAGAUGGCAGAUAUGGAAGCCCGAUUGGUAGCUGCUGUGGUGGCCUCCUGUUGGUGGAGUGGCAGAAAUGGCCGUUGUCAGGGCAAUCUCAGAACCUUAUGUGGACUGCUGCUGCUUCUGUAAGAGCUGCUUGAGAACAAUGCUCGUGAGCAUGUGCUGUGAAGCUGCUAUAGAAACUAGGGUAGAAGGGCCAUUAACUACUUAUAAAAGCCGUUGGUUGUGGCUUGUAAUGUUGCUGCCGUAAUAUCUGCCUUGAGAGUGAUGGCGGCUAGUGAGCAUUGUCAACGCUGUGAGUGAGUGCUGUCGAUGCUCAUGAUCGUAGGUAGCUAGCUACUCUGCUUCUGCAAGGCAAUAGUUAGCUUUCUUACCCAUGGUUCUGCUGGCAUGGUUGCCGCAACUC